RNAcentral lists this ribosomal RNA (1224 nucleotides) under Klebsiella quasipneumoniae. RNAcentral's name for it is "bacterial LSU rRNA". It matches the Rfam family "Bacterial large subunit ribosomal RNA", at positions 1 to 1258 of the family's 2925-position model. The record is from RNAcentral. Lineage: Bacteria; Pseudomonadati; Pseudomonadota; Gammaproteobacteria; Enterobacterales; Enterobacteriaceae.
GGGUUGUGAGGUUAAGCGACUAAGCGUACACGGUGGAUGCCCUGGCAGUCAGAGGCGAUGAAGGACGUGCUAAUCUGCGAAAAGCGUCGGUAAGGUGAUAUGAACCGUUAUAGCCGGCGAUGUCCGAAUGGGGAAACCCAGUGCAAUUCGUUGCACUAUCGUUAACUGAAUACAUAGGUUAACGAGGCGAACCGGGGGAACUGAAACAUCUAAGUACCCCGAGGAAAAGAAAUCAACCGAGAUUCCCCCAGUAGCGGCGAGCGAACGGGGAGCAGCCCAGAGUCUGAAUCAGCUUGUGUGUUAGUGGAACGGUCUGGAAAGUCCGACGGUACAGGGUGAUAGUCCCGUACACCAAAAUGCACAGGCUGUGAACUCGAAGAGUAGGGCGGGACACGUGGUAUCCUGUCUGAAUAUGGGGGGACCAUCCUCCAAGGCUAAAUACUCCUGACUGACCGAUAGUGAACCAGUACCGUGAGGGAAAGGCGAAAAGAACCCCGGCGAGGGGAGUGAAAAAGAACCUGAAACCGUGUACGUACAAGCAGUGGGAGCACCUUCGGGUGUGACUGCGUACCUUUUGUAUAAUGGGUCAGCGACUUAUAUUCUGUAGCAAGGUUAACCGUAUAGGGGAGCCGCAGGGAAACCGAGUCUUAACUGGGCGUUAAGUUGCAGGGUAUAGACCCGAAACCCGGUGAUCUAGCCAUGGGCAGGUUGAAGGUUGGGUAACACUAACUGGAGGACCGAACCGACUAAUGUUGAAAAAUUAGCGGAUGACUUGUGGCUGGGGGUGAAAGGCCAAUCAAACCGGGAGAUAGCUGGUUCUCCCCGAAAGCUAUUUAGGUAGCGCCUCGUGAAUUCAUCUUCGGGGGUAGAGCACUGUUUCGGCUAGGGGGUCAUCCCGACUUACCAACCCGAUGCAAACUACGAAUACCGAAGAAUGUUAUCACGGGAGACACACGGCGGGUGCUAACGUCCGUCGUGAAGAGGGAAACAACCCAGACCGCCAGCUAAGGUCCCAAAGUCAUGGUUAAGUGGGAAACGAUGUGGGAAGGCACAGACAGCCAGGAUGUUGGCUUAGAAGCAGCCAUCAUUUAAAGAAAGCGUAAUAGCUCACUGGUCGAGUCGGCCUGCGCGGAAGAUGUAACGGGGCUAAACCAUGCACCGAAGCUGCGGCAGCGACACUAUGUGUUGUUGGGUAGGGGAGCGUUCUGUAAGCCUGCGAAGGUG